AAAAACACAGAAAAUGAGAUUGAAGGAAAGUAUUUGAAUACCCCUUGCACUGAUUCCUUUGCAUAUUGAGCAGCAUUACCAGCUUUGUCCAUCAUGGUAGGACUGGUCUUCUCCUGAAACAAACAAAAUCCAUGCCUUAUCAUGUAUUGGAAGAGAAAUAUCAUUGUGUUCUUGAGCACAAGCUACUGUAGAGGUGAGGAUGAAUUCUCUAAAAAAAAAAACAUAGAAAUGAGAUUGAAGGAGAGUAUUUGAAUACCCCCUGCACUGAUUCCUUCGCAGAUUGAGCAGCAUUACCAGCUUUGUCCAUCAAGGUACUGGCCUUCUCCUGAAACGAACAAAAUCCAUGCCUUCUCAUGUAUUAGAACAGAAAAAUCAAGCAGAUUCAUGAAUUAAAAGGAAGAAAUAAAAAUAAUUCAGAGGCUGACCUGAACUUGACCCUUGGCCUCACCAGCUUGGAAGCUCAUCUUCUGGGUAUUGUCAGCCAUCUUUGGUUUCUGAUUUCUUUAAAAGAUUUGGAAGAACUCAAAUAAAUUCUCAGAUUCUUGAAAAAACAAAACUCUUGGUAGUAAAGGAAUGCCAUGGCAGCCAUAAUUUAUACUGAUUAAAACCAGUCCAUUGCUGGACACGUGCAAUGCCACGUGUCAAGCUAGAGAUUGCUUGGAAUAUCAUCCGUUAUUGAGGUUGAGAUUUUGGGGGCCUUUGACCAGGGGGGUUGUGAAUUUUAUGAAUAAUUCAUGCGCUAACUUUCUUUGUUUGUUUUUUUUUUUUUAAAUAAAAAAAUUCUUUGGAUUUUUUUUUAAGACAUUCAUGUAAGUGGUGUCCAAAUUUCAUUAGACAAGUGAGAAAAAACAUGUUUAGUUUAUGUGAAUAAUAUGAAAAAAAAAACCCUUGUAGAUUUAUUUAUCAAAAUACCGAGAUUUUAUUUGAAUGGUUCAUUUAAAAUAUGCUUUAAAGAUAAAAAUGGAUUUUUGUUUAGAAAAUAAUGCUUUUAAUUUAUAAAAUAUCUUGAUUUUAGGUUCAUCAUUGAUUUUAUGAUUGUUUAUUCAUAAAUUAUUAAAUAAAAUAUAAUUUUAAAAAAUAUAAUAUCGAGUUAAGAGUUUUUAAAUUUGAUUUACUAAAUCAGAUUUAAUAAUAAUACCAAAAAAAUUAUGGUGACUUCAAUAUAUUUUUAUUUUUUUUUAAUUUGAUAUGUAGUAUAGCAAAAAAAGUUACUUACUAGGUCCCAUUAUAUAUGUUGUCUAUUUACAGGAUUACAAAUUUUGAGUAGCUUUUUAUAUAGGGGAGGUGCUGCUAAUUGUUUUUUAAAAAAAAAACUGAAAUUGUUAUCCCCCUAAAUCUGUGUAGAUGCCUAGGAGAAAAUCAAUUGUACAUUAUAAGGACAAGAUCACUGCUACUUCUUCUAAUAACGCUAAUGACAACCACGAGUCAUUAGAUGUCCACCAAAAAGAGACACUUGAGAUGCAAGCAUCGACUCACGACUUUGCCUCGUCGAGUGCAAUGUUGCAAUGUAGAGGGGGUCCCUUCACAAUGAGAUUCCUACAUAGUGGGAUCCAUUCACCUACAAAUACGAGACUCAAUCGAAAGACGACAUUUUAAUAUAAGUUUGCUUUGCUUUCACAACGACAUGUUUAAUAAUACCAUAAAAAUAAUUUUUCAUUAAAUUUAUUCAAUUUCAAGUUUAUAAACAAUGAGAUUGCCCGAACAAGAACUUGACAUUUAAAUCGUCGAUGAAAAUUUCAUUGUUUCAAUGAAGCCAAGUUUCCAAACAUUCUAAAUGAAAACCGCAUGAUGAUGCAUGGUUUUUAAGGUUUAAGGUUAGUAUUAACUUAAUAUUUUUUUUAUUAUGUUAAUUUGUUUACUUUAUUGAAAUUAUUAAAAAAAUUCUUUUUAUAAAUGUUUAUUGCAAGGAAAAAUUUGAAUUGGAUAUAGCUAAUGAUAAUGUUGCGAGGAGGGUUUGGAAGAAUUACGUUGCAAUUACAUAACAUCGAAAUCAAGAUAAUUUUUUAUUCAAAAUAUUAAAAUUUUAUUUGUCAUUUACUUAAAGAUAAUUUGUUUGUAUUAUAUGAGUUGUGUGAUUUUUGGUACGAGGUGCAAAAGAAAUCAAAAAAAUAUGCGAAAGAAAGCGAUCUACCAUACUAGAAUGAUAUGACGGUUUGAAAGGAUUUCAAGUCGCCAUAUAUCUUUGAGACUAUAUAGGCGGAAUACAUUCAGCAUGUGAUGUCCAUGCAUAUCACGUGAUGGUCACAGUUUGGUGCCGGGAACCGAAGCUGACAAAUUAACGGUUCUGUUAUCAUGCACACCGGCGGUUCCGUUCUGUUUAUUUUUAAAUGCGAAGAGGAUAGUAAGAUUUUUUUUAAUUGCAUCCAUUUUUUAAUUUGUUGUUUUUUAUAAAUAUAUUUAACUGGCAAUAUUUUUAUCUUGCAUUCAACGGUUCUUAGACAUGAGCCAAACGCAGUGAAGUUUUAUGUGGAAACACAUGUGUGAAGUGAUGGCCGCAAAAAAAAUAAAAUGCAAUAGUUCGUAGAUAGCCAAUCUCAAUGCUUUGUGGUAUGUUGGUUUUCAAUAAUUUUGUUUUAGUUAUUAUCUACUUGAAUUUGAUGAAUUUAUUGUUUAUUUUCAGGAGACAUAUAGCAGUCGGUUAAAAAAAAAUAUAUGGACAAUUCUUCUACCCAUUCAGAUAUCGAUCCAAAUUUAUGAUUGAAGGUAAAAUUAUCUGGUACACUCGAUAAAAAUCAGUUAUACAAACUCUCUAACACUAUAAACAAAAACUUAUAAACAACCUAUAAUAUUUCAGUCAUUGAAUGCUUACAAUUAAUCCAGAGCACUUAAUCAACCAUGGGAUACAAUAACGUAGACCCAUCUCAAUUAAUAAAAAAUAUGAACGACUGCAACUCCUCUCAACUGUCGCAGUGUAUUUUAAAAAGGAGAGAGAGGCCACUUUGUUCACGAAUGUAGCCACCCUUCUCAACUCCUCUCCCUGAAACAGCCCCUCCCUUCUCGCCACCUCCCUGUUCCCGAAUCUACCAACCUUCUCCACCUCAUCUCAGAAACUGCUCCUUUUUUUUCAUCGACUCCGCCGCAACCUCUCAAGUCCUCUAUAAAAAAAACAGCUCCUCCUUUCUGGCUUCCCUCAUUCUCGGAUCUAGCCAUCCUUUCCACCCCCCUCUCGAAAAAGGCUUCUCUCUUUUCGCUGCCCCUUGUUUCUUAUGUUAAAAAAAUUUGUAACUGAUAUCAUUAUCGGAAGCAACGUUGCAUAAAAAACUAGCUAGUUAAGUAAUUUGUUAGAGAAAUGCCGCUUGUCUUCCUUGAGCAUCUUAUUGCCAGAAUCUCAAGCAUUUUUUAUGAACAUGGAUUCACCUUCUUACUUCUGCCUGUGAAUUGUAAUGCGGGAAGGAAAAACGUUAAGUCUAAUAAUCAAAUACAAUUAGCAGUGAAUUAAUAGCAAAGUACAGAUAUAUAGGGCCAUCUGGACAUGCAGGAUCCCAUGAAGAUGAAGGAAUGUUGUGCUCUCAUAAACUGAGACAAAAGAUCUUCAAACAAGUACGAAAAUGAAGUAAAAUUUCACUAAUUAAGGCAACAUCUGCCUGCAAACAUCGAUCACGAGGGAGCUACAGAGAGAGCUCUCUUCUUUAUACAAAAGGAAAUGGCAGAAACAAAACAACAGAUGAACAUUGCAUUCAAUUUCUAAAUUGCUAUAGACAAUUAUUGGACUGCUCCAUUCAGCUACUUCAUUUGUUCAUGCCAGUUGCAUUCUUCACUCCUUCAACAGCUGCCUGUGCCGUAGACAUCACCUGUUCACCAGCCUACACCAAGAACAAGUAUCAUAAUUAAAUUACACAUCUGUUCGUUUUAUUCUUGAGCACAAGCUAUAUAUUGUAGUGGUGAGGAUGAAUUCUCUGGGGAAAAAAACACAGAAAAUGAGAUUGAAGGAGAGUAUUUGAAUACCCCUUGCACUGAUUCCUUUGCAUAUUGAGCAGCAUUACCAGCUUUUUCCAUCAAGGUAGGACUGGUCUUCUCCUGAAACAAACAAAAUCCAUGCCUUAUCAUGUAUUGGAAGAGAAAUAUCAUUGUGUUCUUGAGCACAAGCUACUGUAGAGGUGAGGAUGAAUUCUCUAAGAAAAAAAACAUAGAAAAAGACAUUGAAGGAGAGUAUUUGAAUACCCCUUGCACUGAUUCCUUUGCAGAUUGAGCAGCAUUACCAGCUUUGUCCACCAAGGUACUGGCCUUCUCCUGAAACGAACAAAAUCCAUGCCUUCUCAUGUAUUAGAACAGAAAAAUCAAGCAGAUUCAUGAAUUAAAAGGAAGAAAUAAACAAAUUUCACAGGCUGACCUGAACUUGGCCCUUGGCCUCACCAGCUUGGAAGCUCAUCUUCUGGGUAUUGUCAGCCAUCUUUGGUUUCUGAUUUCUUUAAAAGAUUUGGAAGAACUCAAAUAAAUUCUCAGAUUCUUGAAAAAACAAAACUCUUGGUAGUAAAGGAAUGCGAUGGCAGCCAUAAUUUAUACUGAUUAAAACCAGUCCAUUGCUGGACACGUGCAAUGCCACGUGUCAAGCUAUAGAUUGCUUGGAAUAUCAUCCGUUAUUGAGGUUGAGAUUUUGGGGGCCUUUGACCAGGGGUGUUGUGAAUUUUUGAAUAAUUCAUGUGCUAACUUUCUUUCUUUGUUUGUUUUUUAUUUUAUUCAAAAAAAAAUUCUUUCGGUUUUUUUUCAAGACAUUCAUUUAAGAAAGGAUCAUGAUUAGUUUAUGUGACUAAUUUGAAGAAACACUCUUGAAUAUUUAAUUAACAUAAACUUUAUUGUUUUAGAUUUGCUGAUCAAAAUACUGAGAUUUUAUUUGAAUUUUUUUAUUUAAAUUUUGCUUUAAGACAAUAAUGGAUUUUUUAUAGAUAAUAGUGCUUUCAAUUUACAAAAUAUCUUGAUAUUAGGUUCAUCAUUGAUUUUAUAAUUGUUUAUUUUUCAUAUUAUUAAACAAAUAUAGUUUUUAAAAAUAUAAUGUCAAGUUAAGAUUUUUCUAGUUUAAUUUAUUGAAUCGAAUUUAAUAAUCAUAUAAAAAAUUUAUCAUGACUUGAAUAUAUUUUUAAUUUAAUUCGUCGAAAGAAGUUACUUACUAGGUCCAUUAUAUAUGUUGUCUAUUUGCAGGAUUAAAAAUUUUAGGUAGCUUCCUGUAUAGAUGAGGUGUUGCCGAAUUUUUUUAAAAAAAUUGAAAUUGUGCCCCCCUCAAAAAAAAAAAAAUGUGUAGAUGCCUUGAGGAAAAUCAAUUGUACACCAUGAGAACAAGAUCACUACUAGUUCUUCUAAUAAUGAUAGUGACAAUCAUAAGUCAUUAGGUGUCGACCAAUAAGAGACACUUGAGACGCAAGCAUCGACUCACGACCUUGCCUUAUCAAGUGCAAUGCCGCAAUGUCGAGGGGUCCCUUCACAGUGGGAUCCAUUCACACCGCAUGUAUAAGGCCCAAUGGAAAGGCAACAUUUCAAUGUAAGUUUGUUUGCUUUUACAAUGACAUGUUUAAUAAUAUCGUAAAAACCGUAUUUCAUUAAAUUUAUUCAAUUUCAUGUUUACAAACAUUGAGGCUGCCCAAACAAUAACUCAACAUUUAAAUCAUCAAUGAUAAUUUCAUUUUUUCAAUGGAACGAGGUUUCCAAACAUCCUAAAUGAAAACCGGAAGUCGAUGCUUGGUUUUCAAGGUUUAAGAUUAAUAUUAACUUAAUUUUUUUUAUUAUUUUAAUUUGUUUGCUUUAUUGAAAUUACUAAAAAAUUUCUUUUUAUAAAUUUUUAUUGCAAGGGAAAAUUUGAAUUGGAUAGAGCUAAUGAUAAUGUUGCGAGGAAGGUUUGGAAGAAUUACGCUACAACUAAGUAACAUCGAAAUCAUGAUAAUUUUUUAAUUCAAAAUAUUAAAAUUUUAUUUGUCAUUUACUUAUAGAUAAUUUGUUUGUAUCAUACAGGUCGCAUGAUUUUUAUACAAGGUACAAAAGAAAUCCAAAGAAUAUACGAAAGAAAGUGAUCUACCAAGUUGAAAUGACAUGGCGAGUAGGACGGAUUUUAGGCCACCAUACAUAUUGAAGACUAUAUGGGUGGAAUACAUUCAGCAUGUGAUGUCCGCGCGUAUCAUGCAACAGUCACAGUUCAGUGCUGGGAACUGGAGCUGAAAAAUUCAUGGUUAUGUUAUCACACACAUCGGCGGCUCCGUUUCGAUCAUUUUCACAUGAAAAGAGGAUAGUAAGAUUUUUUUUAAUUGCAUCCAUUUUUUAAUUGAUUGUUUCUUAUAAAUAUAUUUAACUGGCAACAUUUUUAUUUUGUAGGCUACAGUUCUUGGACAUGAGCCAAGUCCAAUUGAGCUUUUUGUGGAAACACACGUGUGAAGUGAUGACUGCCAAAAAGAAAUGCAACAAUUCGUAGAUAGCCAAGCUCAACAUUUUGUAGUAUAUUUGUUUUCAACCCUUUUUUAAAAAAAUUAUUAUUUACUUGAAUUUGAUGAAUUUGUUUUUUAUUUUCAGGAGACAUAUAACAGCCGGUUAAAAGAGAGAUACAUGGACGAUUCUUCUACCCAUCCAGAUAUCGAUCUAGAUUUAUAGUUGAAGGUAAGAUCAUUUGGUGCCCUUGAUAGAAAUUGGGUAUGUAGACUCUUUAACACUAUGACCAAGAACUUGCAGGCGAACUAUACUGUGUCAACCGUUAGAUGCUCACAAUCGGUCCCGAACACUUAAUCUCUAGAGUUCACAACCUUGUUAGAUCAAGGAGUACAUGAACAUACGAUCCAUUUCCAUGAAAAUAUGAACGAAUCUCUAUGGAUUAUGAAAAACUCUGUAGAUUGGUAAUGAAGAUAAGAUCACAUAUAGGUGAUACAUGUGCACCUUAUUAUUGUCCCCAUGGUCUCGACGACAACUAGCAUUCUCCUCCUCCACCUCAAGCACCAUCUCUAAUCUAAUUUUAUUAUAUUUGAACAUAUAAAUGUUUAAAUUUGUAAUAAAUAUUUGAUUUUUAUAUUAAAAUAAUCUAUUUUUAAAUAUUUCAAUUUUAUAUUAAUUUAAUUUUUUAGCUAUUUUGUAUUUUAGUUUAGUAGAUUUUUUAAAAAAUAUUUUUAAAUUAUUAUUGAUGGGGUUGCUAAUAGACUUAUUUCGUCGGUAUAUUCCAGAGAGUUGGAAAAAAAUUACAGCAAAUGUCAAUGCUACUAUUAACUUACCAACGAAAUCAGUAUGUCAGUAUAUUCUAGAGAGUUGAAAAAACAUUACUGCAAAUGUCACUGUAACUUUUAACUCACUAAUGGAAUAAGCUCGUUAAUAUAUUUUAGAGAGUUGGAAAAGAGUUACAGUAAAUGGCACUGCAACUAUUAACUCAAUAAUGAAAUUACAUAUAAUUCUCAUGUUGGUGAUAUGUUAAAUUGUACCGAGAGAAUGAUUGGUGUAAUGAAACGGAUAAUUUUUUUUUCACGCACAUAUUCCAUCUAUAAAAUCAUCAAUGAACUUAUUGAAAGAUAAAAAAUUACAUAUAAAUAUUUUUCUAACAUAUAUUUUUUAUUCAUGACUGUGUUGAUAAAAUAAUUACAGACGAAUUGUUGGUCUAAAUACUGUGAAAUAUUCUUGUGGUGAGAAGCAUGAAAUGAUUCAUCAGUGUUAAUGUCAACCUCUGAGUAGAACAAGCUGUUAAAUGGAGACAGAUUGACCAACUCUUUGUAUCUACUAUGCUCAAUAAAAUCCUACAAACAAAAUAAAAAACAAUUUGUUUGGGGAUUUUAUCUAAUUUGGUGGGCUUGCCUUAUUUUGUUAAUUAAAAGGUAAUAGAUACAUUAAAAAAAACAACACAAAUUAAAACCUGCUUAUAAUUUAGAAAAAAACCACCUGUCUUUCAUUUUUAACAACAUAGAAAUUGCACCACCACUGUCGCAGUGUAUUUUAAAAAGGAGAGGCCACUUUGUUCACGAAUGUAGCCACCCUUCUCAACUCCUCUCCCAGAAACAGCCCCUCCCUUCUCGCCACCUCCCUGUUCCCAAAUCUACCAACCUUCUCCACCUCUCAAGUCCUCUAUAAAAAGACAGCUCCUCCUUUCUGGCUUCCCUCAUUCUCGGAUCUAGCCAUCCUUUCCAUCCCCCUCUCGAAAAAGGCUUCUCUCUUUCGCUACCCCUUGUUUCUUAUGUUAAAAAAAUUUGUAACUGAUAUUAUUAUCCGAAGCAACGUUGCAUCAAAAACUAGGUAAUUUGUUAAGUAAUUUGUUAGAGAAAUGCCGCUUGCCUUCCUUGAGCAUCUUAUUGCCAGAAUCUCAAGCAUUUUUAUGAACAUGGAUUCACCUUCUUACGUCUGCCUGUGAAUUGUAAUGCGGGAAGGAAAAACGUUAAGUCUAAUAAUCAAAUACAUUUAGCAGUGAAUUAAUAGCAAAGUAUAGAUAUAGAGGGCCAUCUGGAUAUGCAGGAUGCCAUGAAGAUGAAGGAAUGUUGUACUCUCAUAAACUGAGACAGAAGAUCUUUAAACAAGUACGAAAAUGAAGUAAAAUUUCACUAAUUAAGGCAACAUCUGCCUGCAAACAUCGAUCACGAGAGAGCUACAGAGAGAGCUCUCUUCUUUAUACAAAAGGAAAUGGCAGAAACAAAACAACAGAUGAACAUUGCAUUCAAUUUCUAAAUUGCUAUAGACAAUUAUUGGACUGAUCCAUUCAGCUACUUCAUUUGUUCAUUCCAGUUGCAUUCUUCACUCCUUCAACAGCUGCCUGUGCCGUAGACAUCACCUGUUCACCAGCCUACACCAAGAACAAGUAUCAUAAUUAAAUUACACAUCUGUUCGUUAUUUUCUUGAGCACAAGCUACUGUAGUGGUGAGGAUGAAUUCUCUGGGGAAAAAACACAGAAAAUGAGAUUGAAGGAAAGUAUUUGAAUACCCCUUGCACUGAUUCCUUUGCAUAUUGAGCAGCAUUACCAGCUUUGUCCAUCAUGGUAGGACUGGUCUUCUCCUGAAACAAACAAAAUCCAUGCCUUAUCAUGUAUUGGAAGAGAAAUAUCAUUGUGUUCUUGAGCACAAGCUACUGUAGAGGUGACGAUGAAUUCUCUAAAAAAAAAACAUAGAAAUGAGAUUGAAGGAGAGUAUUUGAAUACCCCUUGCACUGAUUCCUUUGCAGAUUGAGCAGCAUUACCAGCUUUGUCCAUCAAGGUACUGGCCUUCUCCUGAAACGAACAAAAUCCAUGCCUUCUCAUGUAUUAGAGCAGAAAAAUCAAGCAGAUUCAUGAAUUAAAAGGAAGAAAUAAACAAAUUUCACAGGCUGACCUGAACUUGGCCCUUGGCCUCACCAGCUUUGAAGCUCAUCUUCUGGGUAUUGUCAGCCAUCUUUGGUUUCUGAUUUCUUUAAAAGAUUUGGAAGAACUCAAAUAAAUUCUCAGAUUCUUGAAAAAACAAAACUCUUGGUAGUAAAGGAAUGCCAUGGCAGCCAUAAUUUAUACUGAUUAAAACCAGUCCAUUGCUGGACACGUGCAAUGCCACGUGUCAAGCUAUAGAUUGCUUGGAAUAUCAUCUGUUAUUGAGGUUGAGAUUUUGGGGGCCUUUGACCAGGUGGGUUGUGAAUUUUGUGAAUAAUUCAUGUGCUAACUUUCUUUGUUUGUUUGACAAAAUAAACAAAUAAUUCAAUUAAAAAAUUAAAGAAUCCAAAAUCUGGAACCCAACUCUUAAUAGAAACCAACAUUUUCAUACAUGUAAGUGUUGUCCAAAUUUUAUAAGACAAUUGAGAAAAAAAAGAUUUAGUUUAUGUGACUAAUAUGAAAAAACUUCUUGAAUAUUUAAUUAGCAUAAACUUGAUUUUUUUUAGAUUUGUUUAUUAAAUAUUUUUAAUAUUUUUUAAUUAUAUACAAAUUACCGAGAUUUUAUUUGAAUGUUCCAUUUAAAAUUUGUUUUCAAAAUUAUAAUGGAUUUUUAUUUAGAAAAUAAUGCUUGUAAUUUAUAAAAUAUCCUAAUAAUAGAUUAAUUAUUGAUUUUAUGAUUAUUUUUUAUUAUAUUAUUAAAUAAAAUAUAAUUUUAAAAAAUAUAAAAUCAGUUAAAAAUUUUUAAGUUUGAUUUACUUGAUAAAAUUUAAUAAUAAUUUUAAAAAAAUUCUCAAAUACUUUUUUUUAUUUAAUUUGAUGUAGCAUAAAAGUUAUGUUUAUUGGAAGUUCUAGUCAUUGGUAGGUUUGACUGAGUCUUUAGGAAUUUGUUAUUUGAUUUAGCGGCUGAGAAAGUGUCUUCUUCAUGAUAUUAUUUAGAGGAAUUGUGGUGAGUGCGUUCUAAUGUAAAGUCUAUUAAUAGGUCUUUUUUUUUUUCAUUGUCAAGAACAUAGCUUUCUCUUUCAACAAGUCUCUUUUGUUAUUUUUCUUUAUUUAGUAAUAGUGGUAGCAUAGCCGGGUUAGUGAGAUAAAAGCAAAAGAGAAAAAGUUCUCAAAUAGUGAGUCUCCAAAAUAGUUCAAAUAGCAGUAGCUCUUUUUUCCUCAUAUUUAUAUCUUGCAGAAAACGAGGUACUUAAAUUCCAAUUUUGUGCAAGCAGUAAUCCCACAUUUUAAUGUUCAUUAUAACCAUUGGAGUAUGUUAAUUGGGAACUUUCUUCGAUCAAAAAAAUAUUGGUCGAUUAUUGAAUCUGGAAUUGAAGAAUUAGCAACAACUGCAGUCUUGAUAGAUGCCCAGAAAACAUAGUUGGAAAAGAGAAAACUUAAAUAUUUGAAGGCAAAAAAUUAGAGAAAGCUUAAAUAUUUGAAGGCAAAAAAUUAUCUUUGUCAUGCAAUUGAUUGUCCCAUCUUGGAAAUAAUUCUUAGCAAAGAAACUAGGAUAUGUGAGAUUCCAUGAAAAAAAAAAAAUCAAGGUUCUACUAGAGUAAAGCAUGUACAGCUUCAAGUCUUGAGACGAGACCCUACAUAUGAAGGUUGGAGAAUAUGUCACCAACUAUUGUGCCAUAAUUAUGGAGAUAAACAACAAAAUGCGAUUUUCAUGGUGAGAAGAUGGAUGAUGGUGUUAUUGUUGAAAAGAUAUUGCAUUCUUUAACAAUAAAAUAUGAUUAUGUUGUAUGUUUGAUUGAAGAAUCAAAAGACAUAAAUACACUCUUUCUUGAUGAACUGUAAAGCUCUUUUUAGUCAAUGAACAAAAGAUGAAUUGAAGUUCAAAUACAAACGAGCAAGCUUCAAAGGCUUUUACCUUUACUCAGUUCUCAAAUUUUAGAGGAAGAGGUAAAGGUAAAGAAAAGGGAGGUAGAGGUAAUAAAGAUGGCAACAUACAAUACUUUAAGGCUGGUGAUGAUCAAUAUCAAGGCAGAGACAGAGGACAGGUUCAACACUUUAACAAAUCUAAGGUAGAGUGUUUCAAAUGUCAUAAAUUUGAACAUUAUCAUUCUAAGUGUUAUGCUAGGCUACCUAAUGACAAAGCAAAGGAGAGCAAUUGUAUUUUGCUGAAAAACAAAUCCAUCUUCUAAUGGAGGUAAAAGAUAUUUAAUUACCUUCAUUGAUGCUUUUCCUCGAAAAACUUGGGUUUAUUUUUUACAGCAAAAAUCAAAAGCUCUAUGUGUAUUUUAAAGCUUUAAGGCUCAUGUGGAGAAUGAAACAUGAGAGAUUGUUAAGACCCUUCGAACAAUUAUGGUGGAGAAUAUUGCUCAACCGAAUUUGAAGUUUUUUGUAUGGAUCAUGGCAUUCAAAGGGAACUCACAGCUACUUAUACACCACAAUAAAAUGGUGUAUCAGAGCAAAAAAAAAAAAGUCUAUUGUAGUAGCUCGAUCUCUUCCUCGUAUUCGAAAAAGGCCUGCAUAGAGGGAAGACUAUAAGGUAACUCGAAUUGAAGAUCCAAUCACUCACUUUGCUUUAUUUUCAGAUUGUAAUCCUACAACCUUUGAAAAUGCUGUCAAAAAAGCAAAAUGGAGGAAGGCGAUGGAUGAUGAAAUUGAUGCCAUUGAAAGAAAUGACAAUUGGGAGCUGACUGAUAUUUCGAAAGCACAUAAAACCAUUAGUUUAAAGUGGGUUUUCAAAACAAAACUAAAAUAACAUGGUAAAGUUGAUAAAUAUAAGGCACGUUUGAUAGCUAAGGGAUAUAAACAAGAAUAUAGGAUCGAUUAUAUAGAAGUUUUUGCUCCCGUUGGAAGACAUGAUACAAUCAGAUUGGCGGCGUAGAACUUGUGGCCUAUUUUCCAAUUGGAUGUCAAAUCAACAUUCUUGCAUUAAAACUUGAAAGAACAAGUAUUUGUAGAACAACCUUUUGGUCAUAUUAAGAUCAUAAAUGAGCAUAAAGUUUAUAGAAUAAAUAAAGCUCUUUAUGGAUUAAAACAAGCUUCACGAGCUUGGUAUAAUCACAUUGAUACUUAUUUUUUGAAAGAAGGCUUUCACAAAUGUCCAUAUGAGCACGUACUAUUUGUUAAAAUUGAAGAUAAGGAGAAAUUGCUCAUUGUUUACUUAUAUAUAGAUGAUCUUAUAUUUACUAGAAAUGAUGUUGUUAUGUUUAAGGAAUUCAAGAAAUAUAUGAUGAUUGAAUUUGAAAUGUUUGACCUUGGUAUGAUGCAUUAUUUUCUUGGUAUAGAAGUAGUGCAAUCCGCUAAUGGGAUAUUUAUUUCUCAAAAUAAGUACGUGUAAGAUAUUUUGGACAAGUUUCAAAUAAGGGAUUGCAAUUCUAUUAGCACUCCAACUAAAUUUGGCUUGACGUUAAACAAAGAUCAUGAAAGGAAAGAAGGUGGAUAACACAUUUUACAAAGCAAAUUGUUGGCAGUUUGAUGUAUUUAACUACAACAAGACCAGACAUAAUGUAUUUUGUGAGCUUAAUUAGUAAGUAUGUGGAGAAUCCAACAGAAAUGCAUUUGUUUGGAGCCAAGAGGAUCCCUCGUUACUUGCAAGGAACUAAAGAUUUUGGGUUGUUCUACAAGAAGGGCGAAAAGUAGUUGUUUAGGUUCUUUAACAAUGAUUAUUCAUGAGAUCAAACUGAUAAAAAAGCACUUCGGGUUAUGUGAGUUAUUUUUAUGUUGGGCACAGGUGUUGUUUCAUGGUCUUUAAGAAGCAACAAAUUGUCAUCUUAUUAACAAAUUGUCUGAAUUUAUUGUUGCCAUAGCUUGUGCUUGUCAAGCUAUCUAGUUAACAAGAAUUCUUGAAGAACUACAAUUCUAGCAAAUUAAGGUUACUAGUUUUUUAUGAUAACAACUCAGUGAUUAAACCUUCAAGAAUCUAGUAAACGGAAGACAACCAUAUCAAUGUUAAAUAUUAUUAUUUUAAGAGAUCUAAGUCUGGUUUAUCAUCGAAGUGAAGACCAAAUUAUAGAUAUACAGGCCAAGUCUCUCAAAUUUGCUAUAUUUGUUAAAUUACAUAAUCUACUUGGAGUUUGUUCAUGUUCUAAAGUGAACGAGAAUUUUACAGAGGAUUGAUUUUCCUUUUAAACUGAUAUAUGUAGAUUUCAGUUUAAUAAAGAGUGUUAAGAGUUAAGUGUUUUAUUUAAUGUUUAUUGAAAGUUCUAGUCUUUGGUACGUUUGACAAAGUCUUUAGAAAUUUAUUAUUUAAUUUAGUUGCUGAAAUGUACGAUGCUAUUUUAUUAUGAUGAAUGCGUUCUGAUAUAAAACCUAUUUAUAAUUUAUUUAUUUUAUUCUCAAGAAUAGAGUUCUUUUUUAACACGUCUCUUUUUUUAUUUUUACGUACUAGGUCCCACUAAACACAGUGUGUCGGAAUGAUUAUUACGGAGGUGACUGGAGUUGUCAGAAACCUGAUAAAGGCUAAGGACUGUCCGUUGUUCAUUGAUGACAAAGGUACGGAUGUGAGCUAUUAUUGGCCACAUAUCUACUUCAUUAUUAUUAUUAUUAUUAUUAUUAUUUAACUUUUGACUAGAUUACAAAUAUAUAUUAUACGUUUUCCUAUUUUUCUUUGGAAGUCAUACAAACUUGUAUAUUUUAUUUAUCUUUUUCUCACAACAAAAAUUAGUUAUAUUAUAUUUUCUAUUAUAAAAAAACAAAGAAAACAUUUACAAAAAAAGUACCAUAUUAAUAUUAAAACAUAAAAAAGGAAAGAUUCCUUGAUAGAAAAACAAACCAUGAAAAAAUAAUAUUAAUUAAUAUUUUUUUAGACUUUAAUCUUUGUUCUGUAAACUCACAACAUAUUUUUUAUGUAACAAAAUUAAUAUGUGGAACUUAUUUUGUCUUCUUUCAAGCACGUCCAUCCUAUUAGGAAAAUCUAAUUUUUUUUCCGACACAUUAAAAUUAUAAUUUCGUUAAAAUAAUAUAGUUCACAUCAAAAUUGAUUUAAUUUGGUGAUUAGAAAAUAAAAAUAUGUAUGAAAAAAAUUUAAUAAUAUAAAGAUAUAAUUAUCCGAAGCAGCAACUUCUCAUAAAAGACUAGUUUGUUAAGAAAUUUCUCAGAGAAAGCAUCUUAAGGCCAGAAUCUUAAGCAUUUUUUAUGAACAUGGAUUCAUCACCUUCUGAUGUUUGCCUGUGAAUUUGUAAAAGCAUGAGUGGAGUGUUUUAUUAUUUUUUAAUAAGUUUGAUAUUUUUUUUCUAGAAAUAUGUAAAAUUAUCAUUUAUAAAAGAGAAAAUAUUAUUUUAAUAUUUGUUUAGCACUUUAAUAUGCAAAAUAAAUAUAAAAAAUUUAAAAUAAUAUUUUUUAAUAUUUAGCUUUUCAUUUAAGACACCCAUGGGAGAUGCUCUAAUGUGUGAAGGCAAACGUUAGCUCUAAUCAAAUAAAUUUAGCAGUGAAUUAAGAGCAAAGUACAUACACAUAUAUAUAUAUAUACACACACACACACAUAAAUAUAUAUAUAUAUAUAUAUAUAUAUAUAGGGCCAUCUGCACAUGAAGAUGAAGCAAUGUUGGGAUCUCAUAAACCGAGGCAGAAGAUCUUUAAACAAGUACGAAACUGAAAGUAAAUUUCAGUAAUUAGGGCAAUAUCUGCCUGCAAACAUCACGAGAGAGCUACAGAGAGAGAUCUCUUCUUUAAUCAAAAGGAAAUGACAGAAACACAACAAUAGAUGAACAUUGCAUUCAAUUUCUAAAUUGCUCCAUUCAGCUAAUUCAUUUGUUCAUGCCAGUUGCCUUCUUAAUUCCGUCCACAGUUCCCUGUGCCGUAGACAUCACCUGUUGACCAGCCUACACCAAGAGCAAGUAUCAUAAUUAAAUUACACAUCUGUUCGUUAUAUUCUUGAGCACAAGCUACUGUAGCGGUGAGGAUGAAUUCUCUAGGAAAAAAAACACAGCAAAUGAGAUUGAAGGAAAGUAUUUGAAUACCCCUUGCACUGAUUCCUUUGCAUAUUGAGCAGCAUUACCAGCUUUCUCCAUCAUGGUAGGACUGGUCUUCUCCUGAAACAAACAAAAUCCAUGCCUUAUCAUGUAUUGGAAGAGAAAUAUCGUUGUGUUCUUAAGCACAAGCUACUGUAGAGGUGAGGAUGAAUUCUCUUAAAAAAAAACAUAGACAUGAGAUUGAAGGAGAGUAUUUGAAUACCCCUAGCACUGAUUCCUUUGCAGAUUGAGCAGCAUUACCAGCUUUUUCCACCAAGG
This 15438-nucleotide long non-coding RNA is filed under the name Populus tremula. RNAcentral describes it as "long non-coding RNA (PTRE_LNC001332)". Lineage: Eukaryota; Viridiplantae; Streptophyta; Magnoliopsida; Malpighiales; Salicaceae. The record is from RNAcentral.